CAGCCGCCACGGGAAUACGAGGGGGGCAAGCGUUGUUCGGAAUUAUUGGGCGUAAAGGGUGCGUAGGCGGUUUCGCAAGUCUUGUGUGAAAUCUAUGGGCUCAACCCAUAGUCUGCACAGGAAACUGCGAGGCUUGAGGAUGGGAGAGGUGAGUGGAAUUUCCGGUGUAGCGGUGAAAUGCGUAGAUAUCGGAAGGAACGCCUGUGGCGAAAGCGGCUCACUGGACCAUUUCUGACGCUGAUGCACGAAAGCUAGGGGAGCAAACAGGAUUAGAUACCCGCGUAGUCCCUGUCUAUUAUAC
RNAcentral lists this ribosomal RNA (301 nucleotides) under uncultured bacterium. RNAcentral's name for it is "partial 16S ribosomal RNA". It matches the Rfam family "Bacterial small subunit ribosomal RNA", at positions 509 to 807 of the family's 1533-position model. The record is from RNAcentral.